UACGUAGGGUGCGAGCGUUGUCCGGAAUUAUUGGGCGUAAAGGGCUCGUAGGCGGUCUGUCACGUCGGGAGUGAAAACUCAGGGCUUAACCCUGAGCCUGCUUCCGAUACGGGCAGACUAGAGGUAUGCAGGGGAGAACGGAAUUCCUGGUGUAGCGGUGAAAUGCGCAGAUAUCAGGAGGAACACCGGUGGCGAAGGCGGCAUUCUGGACCGACAUUGACGCUGAGGAGCGAAAGCCAGGGGAGCAAACGGG
This 253-nucleotide ribosomal RNA is filed under the name uncultured bacterium. RNAcentral describes it as "partial 16S ribosomal RNA". It matches the Rfam family "Bacterial small subunit ribosomal RNA", at positions 524 to 776 of the family's 1533-position model. The record is from RNAcentral.